AGCAGCCGCGGUAAUUCCAGCUCCAAUAGCGUAUAUUAAAGUUGUUGCAGUUAAAAAGCUCGUAGUUGAAUUUCGGGAUUGACACAUCGGUCGUGCCUUAAGGGGUAUGAACUGGUGUAGUCAAUUUCUCACCUUCUGGAGAACCGCGAUGCCCUUAAUUGGGUGUCGCGGGGAACCAGGACCUUUACUUUGAAAAAAUUAGAGUGUUUAAAGCAGGCAUUUUGCUUGAAUACAUUAGCAUGGAAUAAUAAAAUAGGACGGCAUGAUUCUAUUUUGUUGGUUUCUAGGAUCACCGUAAUGAUUAAUAGGGAUAGUUGGGGGCAUUAGUAUUCAAUUGUCAGAGGUGAAAUUCUUGGAUUUAUUGAAGACUAACUACUGCGAAAGCAUUUGCCAAGGAUGUUUUCAUUAAUCAAGAACGAAAGUUAGGGGAUCGAAGACGAUCAGAUACCGUCGUAGUCUUAACCAUAAACUAUGCCGACUAGGAAUCAGACGAUGUAAUUUUUUAAUGACUCGUUUGGCA
This 520-nucleotide unclassified non-coding RNA is filed under the name uncultured Archaeospora. Its description in RNAcentral is "SSU rRNA". It matches the Rfam family "Eukaryotic small subunit ribosomal RNA", at positions 569 to 1085 of the family's 1831-position model. The record is from RNAcentral. Lineage: Eukaryota; Fungi; Glomeromycota; Glomeromycetes; Archaeosporales; Archaeosporaceae.